UCGAGGAUCUUCGGCAAUGGGCGCAAGCCUGACCGAGCGACGCCGCGUGUGCGAUGAAGGCCUUCGGGUUGUAAAGCACUGUCGAGGGGGAGGAAAGCCCGCAAGGGUCUGACCUAUCCCUGGAGGAAGCACGGGCUAAGUUCGUGCCAGCAGCCGCGGUAAGACGAACCGUGCGAACGUUGUUCGGAAUCACUGGGCUUAAAGGGCGCGUAGGCGGGCUAGCAAGUCCGGGGUGAAAUCUUUCGGCUCAACCGGAAAAGUGCCUCGGAUACUGCUGGUCUGGAGUGAGGUAGGGGCCGCGGGAACUUCCGGUGGAGCGGUGAAAUGCGUUGAUAUCGGAAGGAACGCCGGUGGCGAAAGCGCGCGGCUGGCCCUCAACUGACGCUGAGGCGCGAAAGCUAGGGGAGCAAACGG
RNAcentral lists this ribosomal RNA (414 nucleotides) under uncultured bacterium. Its description in RNAcentral is "bacterial SSU rRNA". It matches the Rfam family "Bacterial small subunit ribosomal RNA", at positions 355 to 775 of the family's 1533-position model. The record is from RNAcentral.